GGGGAGGUGCCAGAGUGGACGAUUGGGACCGCCUGCUAAGUGGUUGUCGGGGUUAAACUCGACCGAGGGUUCGAAUCCCUCCCUCCCCG
This 89-nucleotide transfer RNA is filed under the name Pelolinea submarina. Its description in RNAcentral is "anaerobic bacterium MO-CFX1 tRNA". It matches the Rfam family "tRNA". From Rfam's summary of the family: Transfer RNA (tRNA) molecules are approximately 80 nucleotides in length. Lineage: Bacteria; Bacillati; Chloroflexota; Anaerolineae; Anaerolineales; Anaerolineaceae. The record is from Rfam by way of RNAcentral. RNAcentral also lists the same sequence under 1 other name.